AUGGACGCCGGGCAAUUCGUCAUCCCGAUCCUCGGCAUCAUCGGCGCCGCGGCCGCAACCUUCUACGCCGUCAGCUUCAUGGAGAUCCGGGAGAAAUCACUGGAGGAUCUGGAUGACAAGUACUCCGAGUACGAGGAGGGCGGCGGGCGGCAGCGCCGGGCGCGGCGGAGGUCCGGCCGCCAGGCGAAGAAGCGGAAUGAUUGA
This 204-nucleotide ribosomal RNA is filed under the name Triticum aestivum (bread wheat). Its description in RNAcentral is "partial small subunit ribosomal RNA". The record is from RNAcentral. Lineage: Eukaryota; Viridiplantae; Streptophyta; Magnoliopsida; Poales; Poaceae.